Molecule: long non-coding RNA, 2805 nt
Organism: Mustela lutreola (European mink)
Lineage: Eukaryota; Metazoa; Chordata; Mammalia; Carnivora; Mustelidae
Exons: 4
Source: RefSeq, a predicted model, not a curated record
AAAAGCCCAGGGUGUUGGCCAGAACCUUCUCGUUUCCUAAGCUGCAGUUUUCAGUUCCUGUCCCCAAAGGGCCCCCCGGGUUCUGCGCAGCCUCUCAGUCACUCCUGCUCUGUCCUUGGCCUCUGCUGGACGAUGAUCUUGUAAGAAGAAGGAGAGAGAUGUGUCUCUCACUCUCUGCCAGGUGAGGACAGAAAGCAGCCAUCUACAGUCCAGAAGACCAUCCUUAAGAACAUGGCCAUGCUGCUGCCCUGGACUUCCAGCCUCCAGGACUGUGAGAAAAGACACUUCUGUGGUAUGUCAGGGCAGCCCAAGACCGAGACCCCCUCCAGAAAAUGGAACGGAUGGUCCCCGUCUUCAGCUGUGGUGUGACAGGAAGUGAGAAGGGUCUGCAUUUACUCUGAUGACAAGGUGACAGAUUAGCCUGCUCCAGUUUCAUGGAUGCUGGAGAAGAUGAGUCAGAGGUAAAAGCUGAUUGAUCAUUCAGACCAGUGGCAAGUGACAGAGGGUUAAUGCAACGCACCUAAGCUCCAGCUCCCACAGACACACGUGGAGAGGACUGUUCCUCUGUGCACAGGGUCACACGGUGUGCUGUGUGACAGUAGCACGAUCUUCAGCCUGGGGCCCCGCCAGUCUUCUAAAAUGAGCAACAAACAUGGCCGCUCCCGGGCCCAGAUGGAGACAUUACUGGGCUGGACAGUACACGAGCUUCCCUCUGCUGCAGAGGGGGACACUACCUCUGUCGUUUAAGGCUGUUGUCUCUACAACCAUCCUUGACAAGAUAGUCUGGACCAAAGGGAAGUUAAGGACUUUGCUUGGAAGAUGUUCAGAAACACAGGAGACACAUAGAGAACCGCCUUUCGGCAUGGAGGCAGAAAACCUUAGCGCUGACCGGCAAAUACAAAGUUGCUGAGCUGUGCACACAGCUCAGCAUCAGGCAUGUGGUGUGAGUAUAUAGUCCGACGCCAGGAGCCUUGGAGACCGGAGAAGGUUUUCAGAUCUGGCUUUUCCUCGGGAGCUCACCCUUCUGCGGCUGUGGGACGCAGCCAGGUGUCUGGGAACUGCGGCGUGUCACAGUGUGUGCGCCAUUGAUUAACCAUGAAAACAGUAAUGGAACUGCCAUUGAUCCCUGAAAUGGCUCCUCCGAAAUCCUUUAGGACGUCCACAGGGUCACUACUCAUGUUCCGUCGCGAGGAUAAGCUUCAAGCUAUCUGACUGCUUGCUAACCGCCACCUGCAAUAAACUGCUUGCCUUUCCAUUACCAGCUUAACAACUGCCUGCCAGAGUGGAGUGUAUGAAAAAUAGAUAAAACAGCUCCCAAACUUCACAGCGGCAGAAGGAGUCAUUUGCACGACCGAGUUUGAGAAUUCUCAGUGUGGAAAAUAACUCUCCUGCUCACCAGGAAGUAUGAGGUGACUCAGUCUCUCAUUUUGAAUUUCCAGAAUUUAGCAGUAAAAAACUGACUGCCUUGGCAUGCCACUUUUAACUUUUCAAAGCACUUUCACAUUUCCUCCACUUGAUUAUUUCUCAGGAUAUUUAUACAGGGAAAACUUCUAAAAGUAAGGAAAAAUAUCAUGAAACUAUGUUCAAGAAGUAUUAAAUAGCUGUAUAAGAAUCACUAAAGGCAGAGCUCUAGGUCAGACUUGUCAUCUACACACCACCCAUCCAUCCAUCCAUCCACUAAUCUAUUCAUCUACCCACUUACCAUCUACUCACUCACCCACCCAUCCACCCAUCCAUCCAUCCAUCCAUCCAUCUGUCCAUCCAUCCAUCCACUCAUCCAUUCAUCCAUCCGUCCACCCACCCACCCAUCCACACACCCAUCUACCAUCUACCCAUGUAACCCAGCAAGGGUCUUCAGGGAGCCACUGACAACUACGAUGAUGUAUAAAAAUUUUAUUUUCCUAUUAUUUCAACCAAAUUCACGGUAGUUUAGCAACAACAACAAAACCUAAGCUUGAUCCGGGGAAAUUCAAGAAAAGUGCCUCAUCGAUACAGAGAAUGUAUGUGUAUCACCGUGUCUCUCUACCACCAGCCUCAACUAUUUUGUGUGGGCAUCAAGAGCAAGCAAAUUUAUUUCUAUUGAAAGUGAAGAAUGUUUAGAGUCACUUAAGUUAGAAGUGUUAUGACUGCUGUGAAAAAUGCAUGGGAAAUGAUGUACUAAGUCUUUGGUGAGUGGCUCUCUUCCAAUGCACACAUUUUUUAUUGUUGUUAAGAACACAUAACAUGAAAUCAUGCUCUUAACAAAUUAACAAAUUUUUACAUGUACAAGACUUGGUUAGCAAUACUAUAUUCCAUAACAAUUACAUGUAUAUAUUGUUAUAUCCAACAAUAUAAUAUUGAUAAAUAUAGUACAAUGUUGUACUGUGGGUCUCUAGAACUUACUCAUCUUGCUUAAGUGAAACUUUAUGCCCAUUGAACAUCUCCCCUUUUCCCCCACCCCUGCCCCGGAAACUGCCAUUCUACUCUCUGCUUCCAUUAUGACUAUUCUAGAUACCUCACAUAAGUGGGAUCAUGCAGUAUUUUUCUGUGACCAGCGUAUUUCAUUCAACAUAACACGCACCAGGUUUAUCUAUAUUGUUACAUGUGGCAGGCUCUCCUUUUUUAAAGUUGAAUAAUAUCACACACUGUGUGUGUGUGUGUGCAUGUGUGUUUACAUCCCCAUGGUUUCUCCAUCCAUCCAUCAGUCCUGGACACUCAGAUAGUUUCCAUAUCUCUACCAUUAGGAAUAACACUGCAGGGAACAUGGGAGUGCAGAGAUCUCUCCAAGGUCCUGAUUUCCAUUCUUUUGCAUGUAUACCCUGGAGU